CUCCCGGACGAGGCAGACCCCGUCGUCGACGGCAUCCUGGCAGCGGCGCCGUUGCUCGCCGUUUGCAGCAACCUGGGUAUCGCGGUGUACGACUGCAACACGGGGGCCUGUCUGGACUUUCGUCCCUACGCAGAUUUGUUGGGGCAGAGCCCUCCCUGGUGUCCACGGCGGUCUUAUCGGGCCGCUCGCCGGGCAGGAUGACCUGCCUGGUGGGCGCGCUGGUGGGCUGCGGCCCCAGGACCCACCUGGUCCACCUCGCCUGCAGCCCCAGAGAGCACCUUCCCCACGCGUCAGGGAUCAGCUUCCUCAACCUGUCGUCGUUGACGCCGCGCUCCCCGCUCCGCGCUCAGUUUGUCCGGCCAGCCGUCGACGGCGUGACCGCGGCCUACGGGAAGGGAGCGCCAGCGUCCUCGUCGUCGAGAUCUUCGAGUCGGAGCUUGGCGCCCACGGCGCCGCC
Thrips palmi is the source of this 457-nucleotide long non-coding RNA. RefSeq lists it as uncharacterized. The transcript has 3 exons. The record is from RefSeq and is a predicted model, not a curated record. Lineage: Eukaryota; Metazoa; Arthropoda; Insecta; Thysanoptera; Thripidae.